GCCACUGCUAUUGGGGUUCGGCUAAGCCAUGCGAGUGGAGGGCGUCCCGCAAGGGAUGGCCCCGCAGACGGCUCAGUAACACGUCGUCAACCCACCUUAAGGUGGGGGACAACCUCGGGAAACUGAGGAUAAUCCCCCAUAGGCGGGGGAGGCUAGAAUGCGCCCCCGCUGAAAGCUCAGGCGCCCUAGGACGGGACGGCGGCCUACCAGGUAGUUGGUGGUGUGACG
RNAcentral lists this ribosomal RNA (228 nucleotides) under uncultured archaeon. RNAcentral describes it as "partial 16S ribosomal RNA". It matches the Rfam family "Archaeal small subunit ribosomal RNA", at positions 23 to 246 of the family's 1478-position model. The record is from RNAcentral.